ACUUACAAGCUAGCCCUCUCAUGCAAACCCAACAACCCAAUAUAACUACCCCCUCAUGACCAACAAAACAAACAAACAAAUCAUUUUUCCUCCCUAGUAUAGGCGAUAGAAAAGGAACCAAGGCGCAAUAGACAAAGUACCGCAAGGGAAAGCUGAAAGAGAAAUGAAAGAACCCAAUUAAGAAAAGAAAAGCAAAGAUGUAAUCUUGUACCUUUGCCAUCAU
This 223-nucleotide ribosomal RNA is filed under the name Cheilinus fasciatus (redbreast wrasse). Its description in RNAcentral is "partial 16S ribosomal RNA". Lineage: Eukaryota; Metazoa; Chordata; Actinopteri; Labriformes; Labridae. The record is from RNAcentral.